Long non-coding RNA from Mizuhopecten yessoensis (Yesso scallop), 754 nucleotides. RefSeq lists it as uncharacterized. The record is from RefSeq and is a predicted model, not a curated record. The transcript is spliced from 5 exons. Lineage: Eukaryota; Metazoa; Mollusca; Bivalvia; Pectinida; Pectinidae.
GUCUUUCAGACUCGGCUUUGGAGACCCGGAUCACAGAUCAUGUGUUAAAUUCCACAGAGUGCUAUUAUUAUCGAGGAGAGAGCAUUGGAAACAACCUAUAAAUAGGUGAUCUACUUAAAAUGGUGGUGUAUACUUGAGUGUGCUAGCCACACAACACGACCGUACUUAUAAUUCUGUGUACAGAGAAACUAAAUAUUCCACUAGAUCGAUAUAUUGGCCAAGUUAUAUUUUUCCACAGAUUUGGUCUGUGUGUACGUAUACAAACGGAACUCCAUUUAAUACCAAAAAAAAAAAGGAUUAAUUCACAGUUUGGACAAGAUGGUACGAGUUAUCCUGAAGUAUGGACCCUACCAGAGGUGAAACGGCAUCUACCACAAUGCAGGAAAGGUCCAGGGCUUGUUGUCGGCUAUAGCCUGUUCUGGUCACGUGGUCAUCACUCAAAAGACGGAGAAGCAUGAAGCAUGUGAGGUGUACAUUGAUUCCAAACGAGUUUGGUCAUGUAACAUUAAAGGGCUGCAACCAGGUGACGGCCAUUCCCAUCCAUUGUGUGUUGAGGCUCUGAAGGCUAUAAAAGCUCACAGGGCAUCGUAAUAUAUAUGUAAUAUGAUGUGAUAAACAAUAGGUAUGACCUUUAUACCUACCUACGUCUUCAAUGACGGUUCCUUCUUAAAGACGAGACUGGUCGGAACCUGAUGUCCUCAGACUGUAAAACCAAAAUAAAAGUAUAUAAAUUAUUUCAUACACCUUGAUUGUC